This 869-nucleotide long non-coding RNA is filed under the name Cricetulus griseus (Chinese hamster). Its description in RNAcentral is "lncRNA (ENSCGRG00015033816.1)". The record is from RNAcentral. Lineage: Eukaryota; Metazoa; Chordata; Mammalia; Rodentia; Cricetidae.
GAAAGAAACAGCCUCAAAACUGAGUUAGGGUAUGAGAAACACAACAUGGUGGUGGAAAGCCAUGGGUGAAAAUGAGGGAACUGAGGGUUCCAGCCUGCUGCCUGGACAAUGUUAAAGAUGAAUGCGGAAGAAAAGAGCCAAAGAAUCCACCAGAGAGUGAAAUCUGCCUGCGUCUGCGUACAAAUAAAAUGUAAGCUCUCAGCUACUGCUUCAGCACCAUGCCUGCCUUCCUGCUGCUAUGUUUCCUGCCAUGAUGGCCAUGGACUCGUCCUCUGAAAGGACAAGCAAGCCCCCAAUUAAAUGCUUUCUUUGUUCUGCUACUCUCGGGUUCCAGAAUGAGGAAAACCUGGUUGCCACAUGUUCAGUUUGCCUAUAAUACAGCCCUAAAUGCCAAGUUUACUGUGUGUCUGGCAGUUGAUAGUGACAAAAGACCAACACAUGAUUCUUGGGCUGUCUAAUUAUCAGCUGACUAGGAAAGGAACAGAUCUCUUUUUUGAAAUUAUGGACAUCUGGCUGGCCUUUGUAUUUCCUGAAGAUGCUAUGAUGAUUGCCAUGGAGGAAAAAUCAUGAACUGUCUUUCCCACCUGUGAACCCUGUAACCUACAAAAACAACUGGCCUGGCAAAAUAGUGUCUCAGUCUGACGAACUCCUGCCCUCUUCCCUUCAUCUCUCAUGUUUUGGGAUGUACCACCACACCCAGAGGUUUUCUUUUCCCCUUCAGUGCUAAGAAUUGAAUCUGGAGUCCCAAGCACACUGGAAAGUUCUUUACCAGUGAACAUCUUCAUCCUCCUGUGAUGUGACAAUUAGGGGAGGGGUUGCAGAAUAUAAUCAAAAGAGUCCUGGAUUCUUACCUGAAGUUUACAGCCGAC